UAGCUGAGUUGGUAAAGAAUCUGCCUGUAGUGCAGGAGACCCAGGUUCACUCCCUGG
This 57-nucleotide transfer RNA is filed under the name Bos taurus (domestic cattle). It matches the Rfam family "tRNA", at positions 8 to 63 of the family's 71-position model. Rfam says of the family: Transfer RNA (tRNA) molecules are approximately 80 nucleotides in length. Their secondary structure includes four short double-helical elements and three loops (D, anti-codon, and T loops). The record is from Rfam by way of RNAcentral. Lineage: Eukaryota; Metazoa; Chordata; Mammalia; Artiodactyla; Bovidae. RNAcentral also lists the same sequence under 5 other names.